UCGACUGUUUUCCAAAAACAUAGUUUAUAUUUAAAUUAUAGAUGCAAUAUGGUCAAUGGAAAUUUUUUUAAAUUCAAGCCUUAGCGUGAGAGUAAUAAUGUAGCGUAAUAAUUUGAUACUUAAUUGGUGUCUGGUAUGAAUGCUUAAACGAUUAUAAAUUUGUCUCAAAAAUAGAAUAAAAGUUAAGAUUCUUUUUUAAAAUUAUAAGACAAGAAGACCCUAUAAACCUUUACUAAAAAUUUAUAGUUUAACUGGGUCAGUUACCUUUUAUAAUAAAAAAGGUAUUUUUUGUUUACAAUAUAAUGUUAACAAAUUAUUAUUAUUUAAAUGACCUUUUUAAUUAAACUAAAUUAAUAAAUUAAUAAAUAAAAGGUACUUUGAGGAUAACAGCGUUAUUUAAAAAAGAGUUGAUAUCAAAUUUUAAGUUUACAAUCUCGAUGUUGAAUUUAGAUAUCCCAUAACUGCAAAAGGUUAUAAAGGUUAGAUUGUUCAUCUAUUAAAAUCUUACAUGAUUUGAGUUCAUUCCGUAAAUCUUACAUGAUUUGAGUUCAUUCCGU
This 557-nucleotide ribosomal RNA is filed under the name Halammohydra coronata. Its description in RNAcentral is "partial large subunit ribosomal RNA". The stretch from base 214 to 533 matches the Rfam family "Bacterial large subunit ribosomal RNA", at positions 2085 to 2636 of the family's 2925-position model. Lineage: Eukaryota; Metazoa; Cnidaria; Hydrozoa; Actinulida; Halammohydridae. The record is from RNAcentral.